Portunus trituberculatus (swimming crab) is the source of this 284-nucleotide long non-coding RNA. RefSeq lists it as uncharacterized. The transcript has 2 exons. The record is from RefSeq and is a predicted model, not a curated record. NCBI's taxonomy places the organism in Eukaryota, Metazoa, Arthropoda, Malacostraca, Decapoda, Portunidae.
UUUUUCAUUGUAUUUUUUCCUCAUUGAGUUUGUUAUGAAGACUUGUAUUGGUAAAGUUACAUGUAUAGAACGCGACGUGACCGAGGCGUGACUACUGCUAUGACCUCCGCCGCUCCUAACGCUCCUAACACUACUAACACUACUGGAAGACUGCGUUUCCUUAUCACAGGCUGUGGUGUGUGUGGUGUGUGAGAGAGAGAGAGAGAGAGAGAGAGAGAGAGAGAGAGAGAGAGAGAGAGAGAGAGAGAGAGAGAGAGAGAGAGAGAGAGAGAGAGAGAGAGAGA